UUGUUCUCAUGAUGAGUUCUAGAGUUUGCCUGCAUUGUUUGAUAAUAUCUUUGUGAUAACAAUUGCAACAUUUGAGGCAUAU
This is a non-coding RNA of Brachypodium distachyon (stiff brome), 82 nucleotides long. Lineage: Eukaryota; Viridiplantae; Streptophyta; Magnoliopsida; Poales; Poaceae. The record is from Rfam.